GAAUUUUUUGUCUCUCUGAAGUGAGGGCUUAAGGAAUAAUGAAAACUUCUGCUCAUACUUCUCAUGAAUGCUUUUAUUUUCAAGGUCAACCAAAUGUUUUUUCAGGAAAGACUAAUGCACUUUUCUUCAAGCAAUAUACCGUAAAAUGUUUCUCCAAGAUUAUCCUGUCUCUGAGCAGAAGACAACUGGGUCUAGAUGUUUUUAUUUUCUCCUUGCUGUUGCAAAAUUAGGUUUGAGUGACUCUGGGCCCGUCAUAAUGGAUUGUUCUCUCAUGAGGAACUCAGAGCUCAACUUCUCUUGAUGAGGAGACUGAGAUGCAGAGAGUUUGGGUAUCUGGCCAAGGCUCUGACCUACCGUUUGGCAGAAUGCUGUUCUCACCUCCUUUAUAGCUUACAAACCCAUGAAACAGCUUCUCCAGGAAACUCAGGCUACUUGAAAGGUGGCAUCUCAUCUCGAGUAGCUGCUGUGAUCCCAGGGGGCCCAUCCUGAAGGCAAAGAAUGGACUUGACCAGCCCCCAGAGAGGGUCAACUCAACAGAGACAAAGCUUUGACCCAAGAACUGUGAGCUCCUUGCAUCAGGGUCCAGGAGUUGCUCAUCUGCAUACCCUCGGCAUACAGUGAGUACUCAGGAUGUAUUUGUUGAAAACAAAGUUACUGGUGACUGGCUGACUAAUCAACUGAGCGGGUGAAUGAAUGAAUGAAGGUCAGUCUCUUCUCUUAAGAAGCUCCCCAUGGGAUGGAGAAGGCAGAUGUUCGCACAGAUCAGGAAGAACACAAUGUGUGAUCGUUAGGACAGACCACUUGCUGUAGGCAGGAGUUUUGAUUGGAAGGUGAAUCCGAAGACCUCCCAGGGACCAAGAUGGUUUUAAGAGGAUCAACUUCAGAUGUUCCAGUUCCACACUGACUGAAAAAUGGCUGUGACAGUGUAGAGCCAUCGCUUUCCUCAACUCCUCAUUCACUUUGAUGAGUUUCACCUUGGGGUGUUAUGCAGGGGCGUAAAAGUCUUUAGGGC
This 1012-nucleotide long non-coding RNA is filed under the name Equus caballus (horse). RNAcentral describes it as "lncRNA (ENSECAG00000042876.2)". The record is from RNAcentral. Lineage: Eukaryota; Metazoa; Chordata; Mammalia; Perissodactyla; Equidae.